GGGGGGGGGAGAACCAGCGCCACCAACAACACCUGCUCCAUCUCCUUUGCCUCCUACCUCUGGGAGCAAUCUGCCCACCUGCUCCCAUGGUAAAGCUGACACACCCUGCCCACGGUUCCUCCCUCCGUAGCCUGCAGCUAAAGCGCUGCUAGUCUGCACAGGAGCCGCAGACGCAGACAGAGCUCCAGCAUGCCUGGCCGCCAUACCGCAGGAGGGAGGGAUCAACGUAGCUGGCGCAGCCUAAACAUCCGUCCCGCAGGCAGCAGAGACAUUAUCUCGGUGGCGUGAAAAGGCGAGAGGUGAAGCGGCCGAGCCGGACGUUUUUUAUGGUCGGAGCAUGGUGUACAAAAAGGGGUUUCAGGCGAGGAGCUCCGGCUACUCGCUCAAGGAUACCCCCGUGCUUAUUGUUGUGAUCGUCGUUCUGAUGAUUAUAUUGUGUAUUUAUCUGGAGAUGAUGACGACGUUCCCUUGGUGACUUGUUACCGGAAGGCUCUGUGCAAGUGGCUGGUAUGAUAUAACCAAUAAAAAGGUGGAUUUUCCCAGUG
This is a long non-coding RNA of Fundulus heteroclitus (mummichog), 545 nucleotides long. RefSeq lists it as uncharacterized. The transcript has 2 exons. NCBI's taxonomy places the organism in Eukaryota, Metazoa, Chordata, Actinopteri, Cyprinodontiformes, Fundulidae. The record is from RefSeq and is a predicted model, not a curated record.